Amblyraja radiata (thorny skate) is the source of this 159-nucleotide long non-coding RNA. RefSeq lists it as uncharacterized. NCBI's taxonomy places the organism in Eukaryota, Metazoa, Chordata, Chondrichthyes, Rajiformes, Rajidae. The record is from RefSeq and is a predicted model, not a curated record. The transcript is spliced from 3 exons.
GCUUCACAGCUGAUAAUCCUGCAGAUAUUGAGGUCUCCUCCUCUGUCGCUGAGAGCGUCGAGCGGGAAUAGACUGCUCUGCUGUGUGCUCUGCUGUAUGCUGACCACAAUCACUGUCUUGAUUGGAUAUUGGGAAGGGAAAAAGAAGAGACUGGGAGAA